UACGGAGGGAGCUAGCGUUGUUCGGAAUUACUGGGCGUAAAGCGCACGUAGGCGGCUUUGUAAGUUAGAGGUGAAAGCCUGGAGCUCAACUCCAGAAUUGCCUUUAAGACUGCAUCGCUUGAAUCCAGGAGAGGUGAGUGGAAUUCCGAGUGUAGAGGUGAAAUUCGUAGAUAUUCGGAAGAACACCAGUGGCGAAGGCGGCUCACUGGACUGGUACUGACGCUGAGGCGCGAAAGCGUGGGGAGCAAACGGG
RNAcentral lists this ribosomal RNA (253 nucleotides) under uncultured bacterium. Its description in RNAcentral is "partial 16S ribosomal RNA". It matches the Rfam family "Bacterial small subunit ribosomal RNA", at positions 524 to 776 of the family's 1533-position model. The record is from RNAcentral.